UAUUAUUUCCUCCAACAUAUAGCAACUCUCUAUAUCUAGUUCGUGGAGUUGUACAAGACCCUUAGCCACAAAAACUGAGAAUAUGUUUCUCAAACUGGCACAUAUAUGAACUUGUAGCUUUCUCAGCUUCCGAAAGCCAAUGACAUUUUCUGGAAUUUUGGUGAAUAUGUUCAUCAGUUUUGGUAGAUCUGACAGUUGGACUUCUUCAAGAUGAGAGAAUGUUACAAAAUAUCCUACAUCAGUAUUCGUUCCUUGGCACUCAAACAUCUCCAUCAAUGAACCACACCUACGCACAAUAAGCUUUUCCAACUUUUGAAGGCACUCUAUCAAAUAGAACGGAAUGAGAUUCACCCAAUUUUCACAGUUUUCAACUUCCAGAACACGUACAUUGCUUAAAUCGCCUUCUGAUUGUUGGCCAUUCUCUAUCCUUCUCAAAAUUUUCUUGCAAUGGAUGAGUAAUCUUGUCAACAUCUGCAAUGCUCAUAAUAUCAUGACCACAAAGUAAACAAUUAAACACAAACAUCCAUUAUAAUUUGGGAAUGCGAAAUGUUAAGUAUUAAUUAACUUGAUUAUGCAAAAUUACUAAUUAUUGAAGAGGUCUUUGGCCUAAUGAUAAGUGGUGCGGAGACUCAAUUACCUUAAGAUGUUACCUACUAGAACUAUAUUCUAAAAUCCUAAAUAUAGGAAACUAAAGCCAGAGUAAUUUUCCACCAAUCAAUUCUAAUUUGUGUUAGUCUAAGAAAAGAGAGUCAGUCAAAAAGAAAAGGAGAGUUCACAACCUUAGUGAGAGUAGAAUUAUAAUUGGAGAAUAAAGUUAUUAGAAAAGAAAACAUACCACUUCUUUUUCAGUUGCAUUAAGGUCUCCCAUUAAUGGAUAGUUCUCAUCACUUAUUUUUAGUUUCUCUAGCUUUGGUAAUUCAAGAGCAUAAGUCCCACUGUAAAAACUCUUGAGGUUGGGUAAAUUCGCAAAUAUCAGAGAUUUUAGCUGAGGGAACACGAUCUUGUUCAUGCUUGCUUCUUGUUCUUCUUCAUCCUCUUUCGCAAUAAUUUCCAUCAUCCUCUUGCAGCUAGUAACCUCUAUUUGUUGGAGCUUUACUAGAAGUUUGGCAGAGUGAGGAGAGAAAAGAUACGUUAAAUUUUCACAAGAAUUUACCCUCAACAGUUGCAGGUUUUGGAAGGCUGAUAUUUCUGGCGGAAUCUUGAACCAUAUAUGCAUUAACUUAGAUAAACUACUUAAAUGCAACUCCUUUAAAGAAUUGAGGAUUCCAAUAGUAGCAUGGUACUCCUGAAGAAUCAACCCGUCAAAUGAAAAUAUCACUUCCAAUGUAUCAGAUUUCUCCAUUUUAAGGUUUUCCAAAUUUUGAAACCCUUCAAUCAAUUUGGAUGGA
This 1388-nucleotide unclassified non-coding RNA is filed under the name Hevea brasiliensis (rubber tree). The record is from RNAcentral. Lineage: Eukaryota; Viridiplantae; Streptophyta; Magnoliopsida; Malpighiales; Euphorbiaceae.